GUAGGGAAUCUUGCGCAAUGGGCGAAAGCCUGACGCAGCCAUGCCGCGUGAAUGAUGAAGGUCUUAGGAUUGUAAAAUUCUUUCACCGGGGACGAUAAUGACGGUACCCGGAGAAGAAGCCCCGGCUAACUUCGUGCCAGCAGCCGCGGUAAUACGAAGGGGGCUAGCGUUGCUCGGAAUUACUGGGCGUAAAGGGAGCGUAGGCGGAUAGUUUAGUCAGAGGUGAAAGCCCAGGGCUCAACCUUGGAAUUGCCUUUGAUACUGGCUAUCUUGAGUAUGGAAGAGGUAUGUGGAACUCCGAGUGUAGAGGUGAAAUUCGUAGAUAUUCGGAAGAACACCAGUGGCGAAGGCGACAUACUGGUCCAUUACUGACGCUGAGGCGCGAAAGCGUGGGGAGCAAACAGGAUUAGAUACCCGAGUAGUCC
RNAcentral lists this ribosomal RNA (425 nucleotides) under uncultured bacterium. RNAcentral's name for it is "partial 16S ribosomal RNA". It matches the Rfam family "Bacterial small subunit ribosomal RNA", at positions 354 to 796 of the family's 1533-position model. The record is from RNAcentral.